RNAcentral lists this ribosomal RNA (466 nucleotides) under uncultured bacterium. RNAcentral's name for it is "SSU rRNA". It matches the Rfam family "Bacterial small subunit ribosomal RNA", at positions 26 to 518 of the family's 1533-position model. The record is from RNAcentral.
AGAAUCAACGCUGGCGGCGUGCCUAACACAUGCAAGUCGAACGAGAAAGUGGAGCAAUCCAUGAGUAAAGUGGCGCACGGGUGAGUAACACGUAACUAACCUACCCUUGAGUGGGGGAUAACCUAGGGAAAACCUGGGCUAAUACCGCAUAAUACCUUUGGGUCAAAGGAGCAAUUCGCUUAAGGAGGGGGUCGCGGCCGAUUAGUUAGUUGGCGGGGUAAUGGCCCACCAAGACUGUGAUCGGUAUCCGGCCUGAGAGGGCGCGACGGAACGACACUGGAACUGAAACACGGUCCAGACUCCUACGGGAGGCAGCAGUGGGGAAUUUUGCGCAAUGGGGAAACCCUGACGCAGCAACGCCGCGUGGAGGAUGAAGUCCCUUGGGACGUAAAACUCCUUUUCGAUCGGGACGAUUAUGACGGUACCGGAAGAAGAAGCCCCGGCUAAACUUCGUGCCAGCAGCCGC